ACAGUGGACGCGAGCAUCUGUGGCCAAGUUAUUAAGGGCGCACGGUGGAUGCCUUGGUACCAGGAACCGAUGAAGGACGUGGGAGGCCGCGAUAGUCCCCGGGGAGUUGUCAACCUAGCUGUGAUCCGGGGGUUUCCGAAUGGGGAAACCCGGCAGUCGUUAUGGGCUGUCACCUGCCGCUGAAUGUAUAGGCGGUGUGGAGGGAACGCGGGGAAGUGAAACAUCUCAGUACCCGCAGGAAGAGAAAACAAUAGUGAUUCCGGGAGUAGUGGCGAGCGAAACCGGAAGAGGCUAAACCGUUUGUGUGUGAUACCCGGCAGGGGUUGCGCAGGCGGGGUUGUGGGAGUUCUUGUGAUUGUUCUGCCGAACGGUCGUCGAGUAAAAAAUCGCAGGUAUAGGCGAAGGGCAUGCGAAAGGCCCGGCGUAGAGGGUAAGACCCCCGUAGCUGAAAUGUCUGCGACUCGUUGAGGACCACCCAAGUAGCAUAGGGCCCGAGAAACCUUGUGUGAAUCUGGCGGGACCACCCGUUAAGCCUAAAUAUUCCCUGGUGACCGAUAGUGGAUAGUACCGUGAGGGAAUGGUGAAAAGUACCGCGGGAGCGGAGUGAAAGAGUACCUGAAACCGUGUGCCUACAAGCCGUGGGAGCGUCGCGUAUCGAGCUUGCUCGGUACGUCGUGACUGCGUGCCUUUUGAAGAAUGAGCCUGCGAGUUUGCGGUGUGUUGCGAGGUUAACCUGUGUUGGGGAGCCGUAGCGAAAGCGAGUCCGAAGAGGGCGUUUGAGUAGCAUGCCCUAGACCCGAAACGGAGUGAUCUAGCCAUGGGCAGGGUGAAGCGUGGGUAAGACCGCGUGGAGGCCCGAACCCACCAGAGUUGAAAAUCUGGGGGAUGACCUGUGGUUAGGGGUGAAAGGCCAAUCAAACUCCGUGAUAGCUGGUUCUCCCCGAAAUGCAUUUAGGUGCAGCGUCGUUUGUUUCUUGUCGGAGGUAGAGCACUGGAUAGGUGAUGGGCCUUACCGGGUUACUGACCUUAGCCAAACUCCGAAUGCCGGCAAGUGAGAGAACGGCAGUGAGACUGUGGGGGAUAAGCUCCAUGGUCGAGAGGGAAACAGCCCAGAGCAUCGACUAAGGCCCCUAAGCGUGUGCUAAGUGGGAAAGGAUGUGGAGUCGCAGAGACAGCCAGGAGGUUGGCUUAGAAGCAGCCACCCUUGAAAGAGUGCGUAAUAGCUCACUGGUCGAGUGAUUCUGCGCCGAUAAUGUAGCGGGGCUCAAGUACACCGCCGAAGUCGUGUCACCAGCCUUAGGGUUGGUGGGUAGGGGAGCGUCGUGUGCUGGGUGAAGCAGCCGUGUAAACGUGUUGUGGACGGUUCACGAGUGAGAAUGCAGGCAUGAGUAGCGUUACACACGUGGGAAACGUGUGCGCCGAUUGACUAAGGGUUCCUGGGUCAAGCUGAUCUGCCCAGGGUAAGUCGGGACCUAAGGCGAGGCCGACAGGCGUAGUCGAUGGACAACCGGUUGAUAUUCCGGUACCCGCCGUGAAGCGCCAGCGCUGAAUCUUCUGAUGCUAAGCCCGUGAAGCCGCCUGCUGAGUCUUCGGACGAGGUGGGAGUGGUGGAGCCGGUGACCCGAGGGGGUAGUAGGUGAGUGAUGGGGUGACGCAGGAAGGUAGUCCAGCCCGGGUGGUGGUUAUCCCGGGGUAAGGGUGUGGC
This 1705-nucleotide ribosomal RNA is filed under the name Streptomyces hainanensis. RNAcentral describes it as "partial 23S ribosomal RNA". It matches the Rfam family "Bacterial large subunit ribosomal RNA", at positions 1 to 1524 of the family's 2925-position model. The record is from RNAcentral. Lineage: Bacteria; Bacillati; Actinomycetota; Actinomycetes; Kitasatosporales; Streptomycetaceae.